AGAGUUUGAUCCUGGCUCAGAGUGAACGCUGGCGGCAGGCCUAAUACAUGCAAGUCGAACGGCAGCACAGCAGAGCUUGCUCUGUGGGUGGCGAGUGGCGGACGGGUGAGGAAUACAUGGGAAUCUGCCCAGUCGUGGGGAUAACGUAGGGAACUUACGCUAAUACCGCAUGCGCCCUUCGGGGAAAGCCGGGGACCUUCGGGCCUGGCGCGAUUGGAUGAGCCCAUGUCGGAUUAGCUAGUUGGCGGGUAAUGGCCCACCAAGGCGACGAUCCGUAGCUGGUCUAAGAGGAUGAUCAGCCACACUGGAACUGAGACACGGUCCAGACUCCUACGGGAGGCAGCAGUAGGGAAUAUUGGACAAUGGGCGCAAGCCUGAUCCAGCCAUGCCGCGUGAGUGAAGAAGGCCCUCGGGUUGUAAAGCUCUUUUGUCCGGAAAGAAAAGCGCCGGGUUAAUACCCUAGUGUCCUGACGGUACCGGAAGAAUAAGCACCGGCUAACUUCGUG
RNAcentral lists this ribosomal RNA (506 nucleotides) under uncultured bacterium. RNAcentral's name for it is "bacterial SSU rRNA". It matches the Rfam family "Bacterial small subunit ribosomal RNA", at positions 8 to 507 of the family's 1533-position model. The record is from RNAcentral.